RNAcentral lists this ribosomal RNA (479 nucleotides) under uncultured bacterium. RNAcentral describes it as "partial 16S ribosomal RNA". It matches the Rfam family "Bacterial small subunit ribosomal RNA", at positions 28 to 507 of the family's 1533-position model. The record is from RNAcentral.
GAUGAACGCUAGCGGGAGGCCUAACACAUGCAAGCCGAGCGGUAGAGCCUCUUCGGAAACUUGAGAGCGGCGCACGGGUGCGUAACACGUGUGCAACCUACCUUUAUCUGGGGGAUAGCCUUUCGAAAGGAAGAUUAAUACCCCAUAAUAUAAUGAUUGGCAUCAAUUAUUAUUGAAAACUCCGGUGGAUAGAGAUGGGCACGCGCAAGAUUAGAUAGUUGGUGAGGUAACGGCUCACCAAGUCAAUGAUCUUUAGGGGUCCUGAGAGGGAGAUCCCCCACACUGGUACUGGGACACGGACCAGACUCCUACGGGAGGCAGCAGUGAGGAAUACUGGACAGUGGGUGAGAGCCUGAUCCAGCCAUCCCGCGUGAAGGAUGGCGGUCCUAGGGAUUGUAAACUUCUUUUGUAAAGGGAUAAACCUACCCUCGUGAGGGUAGCUGAAGGUACUGGACGAAUAAGCACCGGCUAACUCCGUG